UACAGAGGUCUCAAGCGUUGUUCGGAAUCACUGGGCGUAAAGGGUGCGUAGGCGGCGCAGCAAGUCAGAUGUGAAAUCCGGAGGCUCAACCUCCGAAAUGCAUCCGAAACUGCUGUGCUCGAGAUCUGUAGAGGGACUUGGAAUUCUCGGUGUAGCAGUGAAAUGCGUAGAUAUUGGGAAGAACACCUGAGGCGAAGGCGGGUUGCUGGGCUGAUACUGACGCUGAGGCGCGAAAGCCAGGGGAGCAAACGGGG
Molecule: ribosomal RNA, 254 nt
Filed under: uncultured bacterium
Lineage: Bacteria
Description: partial 16S ribosomal RNA
Rfam family: Bacterial small subunit ribosomal RNA
Source: RNAcentral